This 250-nucleotide ribosomal RNA is filed under the name uncultured bacterium. Its description in RNAcentral is "partial 16S ribosomal RNA". It matches the Rfam family "Bacterial small subunit ribosomal RNA", at positions 959 to 1208 of the family's 1533-position model. The record is from RNAcentral.
ACGCGCGAAACCUUACCUACCCUUGACAUCCUCGGAACCCUCUGGAGACAGAGGGGUGCCUUCGGGAACCGAGAGACAGGUGCUGCAUGGCUGUCGUCAGCUCGUGUUGUGAAAUGUUGGGUUAAGUCCCGUAACGAGCGCAACCCCUGUCCCUAUUUGCCAGCACGUGAUGGUGGGAACUCUAGGGAGACUGCCGGUGACAAACCGGAGGAAGGUGGGGACGACGUCAAGUCAUCAUGGCCCUUACGGG